Molecule: ribosomal RNA, 468 nt
Filed under: uncultured bacterium
Lineage: Bacteria
Description: partial 16S ribosomal RNA
Rfam family: Bacterial small subunit ribosomal RNA
Source: RNAcentral
GACGAACGCUGGCGGCGUGCUUAACACAUGCAAGUCGAACGGAAAGGCCCUGCUUUUGUGGGGUGCUCGAGUGGCGAACGGGUGAGUAACACGUGAGUAACCUGCCCUUGACUUUGGGAUAACUUCAGGAAACUGGGGCUAAUACCGGAUAGGAGCUCCUGCUGCAUGGUGGGGGUUGGAAAGUUUCGGCGGUUGGGGAUGGACUCGCGGCUUAUCAGCUUGUUGGUGGGGUAGUGGCUUACCAAGGCUUUGACGGAUAGCCCGCCUGAGAGGGUGACCGGCCACAAUGCGACUGAGAUACGGCCCAGUCGCCUACGGGAGGCAGCAGUGGGGAAUAUGACACAAUGGGGGGACGCCUGAGGCGACGACGCCGCGUGCGGGAUGACGGCCUUCGGGUUGUGAACCGCUGUCGCCUGUGACGAGGCGUGAGUGACGGUAAUGGGUAAAGAAGCACCGGCUAACUACGUG